CGCCCUCUUCCAUACAAAUCGGGAAAGUCAGUCGCGUCAGGUUUUCCUGUUCUUUCUGUAUAUUCUGAAAAUUCCCAUCUUUCGGUAAUAUCUAAUCAUUCUUCCGCUAUAUUACGUGCGUGAUAUUGAUUGCGAGCGUUGACAAUAUGAAAUUCAGUGAAAACAAAAUUUAAUUCUGAAAUAGGGAGUCGAGACUAAAAAUAGAUCAUUGCUCGAUACGUAGGGUAAUUUAGUGAGAGCUUUCCAUUCAUAAAUUACAUUCAUUUCGCGUUCGGCAUUGAGGUAAAACACUUCUCAGAUCUCGUGUUGUCGGUGAUCGGAUAUAGGCAAUUUUGACAGCGGCUAAUUGACAAGGGCCGCAACCCGGUUCAGUACGUGACAAGUUUCAGGAACUAGGAACAGCAAUGGCGACGGAGGGUGGCUUGGCGCCGGGCGGUGAUGACAUGCCCGUGGGCGGACCAAAGACGCCCCAGCAGAUUGCCGCCCAACGUCGCUUGCAACAAACCCAAGCUCAAGUCGAUGAGGUCGUUGAUAUAAUGAAAACAAACGUGGAAAAAGUUCUGGAGCGCGAUCAAAAGCUCUCCGAACUUGACGACAGAGCAGAUGCACUACAACAAGGCGCUUCACAAUUUGAACAGCAAGCCGGCAAGCUUAAGAGCAAAUUCUGGCUGCAGAACUUAAAGAUGAUGAUCAUCGCAGCCGUGAUUGGAAUCAUCAUUCUGGCUCUAAUCAUUGCCAACUUUGUGUGAACACAUUUCGGUAACCGCAGUAUAUUAUAGAAGUUAUUGUUAUAAUGUUAAUACCUAGUAUAUAACGUAUGUUGUUUUUAAUCGUUACGUUAUUGGUAUUAAGCCUUUGUUGGUCUGUAAACAUCUUGUGUGAAGGAUUUCAUGUAUGAUGGCACGAAUGUUGACUUCAUCAUCAAGACCUUUAUAUAGUAUAGUUUCCUUAUAACUUAUCACUAUAAUUAUAAUAUCGAUGUAUAUUUUAUCAGUAUAUUAAAUACCUCCGUAUAUAGUAUUUAAACAUAUUUACAAAUGUAUUAUUGGUAUUUCGAAAAUCACGCGUCUUAGACACAUUUCGUUUACCUAAAUCACAUUUAAAACACUGAUAAUAUAGUGUAUUUUUAGAUGAUCUUUUUUUGUUAAGAAAAAGAUACUUACCUAUUUUCUACCUUUUAGAUAAGAAUUUAUUGAAAAUAUCCUUCCUAUCAGAAUCCUAUCAGAAUUUUUUUUUAAUUAUAUGAAACAUUCAACACUCUUUGGUUUAUACAACAAUACUUUUUCUAGCCUUACUAUUUUUAAAUGUAUUUAUUUUUAUUUCUUGAAUAAUUUAAUUGUUUAAUGCAGGUCGUUGCGUGGUUGAAAAGUGUGUUGAGGCUUUUUGAAAUAAAUACUUUAACUUUAUACUAUUUCUGCUUGAAGUAAGUUUUAGCUUUUACAGUUCUUUCAACUGUGUUGCUUCCUCUAGUUAAAAGUGUUCUAAAACUUUUUGAAUGAUAUUACUUUGAAUAUUUUUCAUUUUUAUACAACAUUACUGUAACCAGUUUAAAAUUCAAUUAACGUAAGUUCCAUUUCGAACCAUUUUUGAUAUAAGGAUUUAUUUUUAUUAUUUCAAGUAUCCUGUUUGAGUUUGAAAUACAGUGGCUUAAUAUUGUUUAUUCCAGUAACUUAGAUUUAAUCUAGCUUAAGUACUUUAGACUUCUACAUUGUGUUUUAAAAUUAUAUAAUGCGUUUUAAAAGUAUAUAAUCGUUUGCAUUUACAUUAAUCUAAAAAUAUUCGAAAUUAUUACAAGUAUUCAAAUUAAAUAAAAAGCUUCGUAGUCAGUUAGAAACUAUAAACAUUCAUAUUUAGGCGUUUGAAAACAAUUUAGAUUAAUUAUUAAUCACGUAUAUCGAUGUGAUUGUGUUAAUAGUUCGGAUUUUGUCAGUAUCGUAUGCAAUAUAUCGUUAAAAGUAUUUAAAUUGAUUUGAUCAAGUAAAAUAUAUUUAGAUAUUUGUGUAUAGGCCGUAUGAUACUGGAUUUUAAAAAAUAUGCCAUAAAAUUUAAGGCUGAGCCGCGUUGAGCAGAAUGUGCUUUUUCCUUGGAAAAAAGCACUCUGUUCCGUUCUUUCAUUUUUUGGCAUAGUUUUUAUAUUCCGUAUAUAAAGAUUAUGGUUCUUUGUGCUUUUACAUAAGCACUUCGUUGUUAAAAUCUUAGGAAGGUGUUUGUAAAUAAUCGUAGCAAAGAACUUCAAUUUUGAAAUGUGUUCUUUGGGUACCGAUGUCAUUGACACUUUAUGGUAAAUAGCCAAAGUUACUGUAUAACCAAUGCUACUCAUAUCAAAUAUAAUUAAUCCAUUCUUUGUAACAUUUAUGAAUAAAUUUUGAGAACGAAACGGACACAUUUCAAAAUUUGAGGUUUUAUUUCACUGUAAGGUAAAAAACAAAUACACCAGUCUUUAAUAUAGGAUUAGUGUUAUUAACGUAACUUAUUAUAGAAUGACAGUAAUCUUCACUUCUCACUGAUGUGGCUUUAUUUAGCACCUAAUUAUAUUAUGUGUUUGAUUUUGUUACCUUUACAUUUCAACAUAAUCUCAAACAUGUAAAGCUGACACAAAUAAACCGUUCGUAUCAAAUCGGAACGCAUUUCAACCAUCAUAUAGUACUCCAAAGAAAACAGCCAUACCAAACACCAAAUAAAAAUGACAAACAAUAUAUUGUAUGAAAUAUUUUAACGAUAUAUCUAAUAAUACCAACCAAGAAACUCGAUUACAGCAUUAGGAACAACGGGCGAAAGUCCCAGAUCAAAAUUCCACAGCAAUUCAUAUAAGCAAAUGACUUAAUAUUCCGGUGUCUAGAAAUGAAAGUUUUAUAGCAUAAAUAAUUAGGUUUUUUGUUUUGCAUUAUUGCCGCGCAUAUAAUCUAUUAAAAGCGUAUGUAGCUAAAUCAGCGUGUGUUUUAGAUUUGCAUUUGAUUUAGGCUGUAGUUAUUUAAGUAUAUUUAUUAUAGCUAGUUAUUUAAGGCUGUUUCACGCAUCAUAUAACCAAGCCUAACAAGUUAAACGACAAGAUCGCGUACAGCCUAAUAUUGAAUAUCUAUACUUGUUAUGUAUUUUGUUUUAUGAUGCCUGGAAUAAACUUACUUACAAACGAAAAAUGUCCGAAGUUGCGAAUUUUAGCUUAGCAUAGACACAUUGCGAUAAGGUGUGUCGUAAAUAUCUAGUUUUAAACAGCAUUUUAGUAGGUAAUAAUGUAUGUAUUAAAUGUUUAUAAAGGUCUGUAAAGGAAAUUUAAAAAUAAAACAUUUUCAAAUCCCAUAGCUGUUAACUACAUUAUCGCUGAAACACCGAGAUAUCCGAGUAACAGUAUUCUUCGUUCAAAAUGUUUGUAGUUUAUAAAAUGUUCUUAAUGUUAAACUUGUGAAACUUAUAUCGAUUAGAAUUAAGUAAUGAUAUCACUGUAAUCACAUCAUGAAAUAAAAGUUUAAUUAAAGGUUUUACUAAAAUAUUGAAUGUACCAAAUUAUUGUAUUACUGCUUCACUGAAAUAAAGCAAAUUUAAUAACAAUAAAAA
RNA transcript from Bombyx mori (domestic silkworm), 3552 nucleotides. It is a transcript of the gene named neuronal synaptobrevin, with no coding region annotated. The record is from RefSeq and is a predicted model, not a curated record. The transcript has 8 exons. NCBI's taxonomy places the organism in Eukaryota, Metazoa, Arthropoda, Insecta, Lepidoptera, Bombycidae.